AAUGGAAUAACUGGGUCAAAUGGUGGUUCCAGUCCAAGUUUUCUGAGGAAUCCAUACUGCUUUUCAGAUUGGUUGUACCAAUUUGCAGUCCCACCAGCAAU
RNAcentral lists this microRNA precursor (101 nucleotides) under Marmota monax (woodchuck). The record is from RNAcentral. Lineage: Eukaryota; Metazoa; Chordata; Mammalia; Rodentia; Sciuridae.